GGAGUUUGGGCCGUGUCUCAGUCCCAAUGUGGCCGUCCGACCUCUCAGUCCGGCUACUGAUCGUUGCUUUGGUAGGCCGUUACCCUGCCAACCGGCUAAUCAGACGCGGGCCCAUCCCAUGGCGUUUCGCUUUCCGCUUAGGGACAUGCGUCCUUAAGCGCUUAUGCGGUAUUAGCGGAAGUUUCCCUCCGUUGUCCCCCUCCAUGGGGCAGGUUGCCCACGCGUUACUCACCCGUCCGCCACUAGGAUAAAAAAUCACUAGGUUUCAUCUUUAUCCCCGUUCGACUUGCAUGUGUUAGGCACGCCGCCAGCGUUCAUC
RNAcentral lists this ribosomal RNA (319 nucleotides) under uncultured Lachnospiraceae bacterium. RNAcentral describes it as "partial 16S ribosomal RNA". The record is from RNAcentral. Lineage: Bacteria; Bacillati; Bacillota; Clostridia; Lachnospirales; Lachnospiraceae.